UCCAUCUGUCAGGACUUCACAAUAGUCGAAUACCGAUAGCAGGAUAUUCGUUGUUGAUGAAGUCUUAAUGGGUGUU
Molecule: microRNA precursor, 76 nt
Filed under: Caenorhabditis brenneri
Lineage: Eukaryota; Metazoa; Nematoda; Chromadorea; Rhabditida; Rhabditidae
Description: mir-76 microRNA precursor family
Rfam family: mir-76 microRNA precursor family
Source: Rfam by way of RNAcentral